RNAcentral lists this ribosomal RNA (254 nucleotides) under uncultured bacterium. RNAcentral describes it as "partial 16S ribosomal RNA". It matches the Rfam family "Bacterial small subunit ribosomal RNA", at positions 524 to 776 of the family's 1533-position model. The record is from RNAcentral.
UACGGAGGGGACUAGCGUUGUUCGGAAUUACUGGGCGUAAAGCGCACGUAGGCGGAUUUGUAAGUCAGGGGUGAAAUCCCGGGGCUCAACCUCGGAACUGCCUUUGAUACUGCAAAUCUCGAGUCCGGAAGAGGUGAGUGGAAUUCCUAGUGUAGAGGUGAAAUUCGUAGAUAUUAGGAAGAACACCAGUGGCGAAGGCGGCUCACUGGUCCGGUACUGACGCUGAGGUGCGAAAGCGUGGGGGAGCAAACAGG